GUGGGGAAUAUUGCACAAUGGGCGCAAGCCUGAUGCAGCGACGCCGCGUGAGGGAUGGAGGCCUUCGGGUUGUAAACCUCUUUCGCCAGUGAAGCAGGCCGCCUCCUUGUGGGGUGGUUGACGGUAGCUGGAUAAGAAGCGCCGGCUAACUACGUGCCAGCAGCCGCGGUAAUACGUAGGGCGCGAGCGUUGUCCGGAAUUAUUGGGCGUAAAGAGCUCGUAGGCGGCUGGUCGCGUCUGUCGUGAAAUCCCCUGGCUUAACUGGGGGCUUGCGGUGGGUACGGGCCGGCUUGAGUGCGGUAGGGGAGACUGGAAUUCCUGGUGUAGCGGUGGAAUGCGCAGAUAUCAGGAGGAACACCGGUGGCGAAGGCGGGUCUCUGGGCCGUUACUGACGCUGAGGAGCGAAAGCGUGGGGAGCGAACAGGA
Molecule: ribosomal RNA, 426 nt
Filed under: uncultured bacterium
Lineage: Bacteria
Description: bacterial SSU rRNA
Rfam family: Bacterial small subunit ribosomal RNA
Source: RNAcentral